UACGUAGGGUGCGAGCGUUGUCCGGAAUUACUGGGUGUAAAGGGUCCGCAGGCGGGCAGGAAAGUCAGAGGUGAAAGACUUCGGCUCAACCGAAGAAUUGCCUUUGAUACUUCUUGUCUUGAAUCCGAGAGAGGAUAGUGGAAUUCAUGGUGUAGCGGUGAAAUGCGUAGAGAUCAUGAAGAACACCAGUAGCGAAGGCGGCUAUCUGGCUCGGUGUUGACGCUCAGGGACGAAAGCGUGGGUAGCAAACAGG
This 253-nucleotide ribosomal RNA is filed under the name uncultured bacterium. RNAcentral's name for it is "partial 16S ribosomal RNA". It matches the Rfam family "Bacterial small subunit ribosomal RNA", at positions 524 to 776 of the family's 1533-position model. The record is from RNAcentral.